Non-coding RNA from Pocillopora verrucosa, 206 nucleotides. The record is from RefSeq and is a predicted model, not a curated record. Lineage: Eukaryota; Metazoa; Cnidaria; Anthozoa; Scleractinia; Pocilloporidae.
GUGUCGUCAAGUAAUUUGUCUCACCUUGAGGCGGAAAUGUUUUCAAGAUUUACCAUUUCUGAUGGACUGUAUUUGUCUUCAAAUUCUAUUGUCUCCUUAUCUGAAAAAGUAUUUGCUGAUCAGGAAUACUUGGGAAUUCUGGAUUUAUCUUUCAACGCUAUUACUUCUUUGCCCGAGAGAGUGUUUGCAAAUCAAAAAGGCCUGUA